Molecule: long non-coding RNA, 252 nt
Organism: Papaver somniferum (opium poppy)
Lineage: Eukaryota; Viridiplantae; Streptophyta; Magnoliopsida; Ranunculales; Papaveraceae
Exons: 3
Source: RefSeq, a predicted model, not a curated record
GAGGUGAAACUUUAUUUCAAGCAGUGUGCGUAUGAGAUGCAAGCAGUGCUGAGCUUCGAUGCUCGUGUUGUUGGAAGUAUACUGUGAAGACAUUGAGGCGUUUUUUUGGGACAGUUCAUGUGUUGGCUUAUGGAGUAUCUACCUUAAACAGUGCAGUUGCUUGAACCGCAGUCAUGGUUUGCUAUUUGUGGUAUUGGUCUCGCUGGAACUGGAGUUAACGCUGAAUACACAAGUCAGAUGCAUGUGUAACUC